CUUAGAUUUUUCCUCCACUCCCUGUGUUCUGUAAAGCAUGCACUUGAACAGGGAUGUGCUGAUGUGCGAUGAGGGUCAGAUUCAAGCUCUGUCCUCCUUAGCAGCCCCAUUAGCUGAAAGAGGGCUGCCCUCAAGUAAUUCUCUGCUCUACUCAACUGUAUGGGUAAGUGGCCUUGAAAUGCACAUAAACUGCCUGGGAAAUGCUCACCACUUGUCCUUAUUAGGGUGCUUUCAGCUUUCAGUGUAGGACCCGUCUUCACAAACUCUGCAAAUGCCAUGGCUUCGACUCACUGGAACAAGGCAUGCCCACGCUGGUGACCGGGCUCUGAGGCAUCUUCCUGAAACAGACCAAAAAACAGCCUCAGCUGGACAGUGGGCAACAUCAGCCUGCAUCAUUAACAGGCCAGCACAUACACGGAUAGAGCGUGCACCAUCCCCUCAGUAUUGUCCGCUGACGCUUUUCUGAAUGCAGCUGCAAUGUAGUAAUUACUCUAUCAAAAGGACAUCUACAGGCUUUGUACUACAGCAUCCAUAUUUCUGCUGCAACACCUGUGCCUACCUACGUUUGUGAUGCCAAUUACAAGCAAACAUUUUUUGGAUGGAGGUUCGUGCACCUGCUUCUCAACCGUGCAGAGGAUAAUAAGGCGGCUUUAUACUCAAAUAACACCUUCCAUCAGAGGAUCUCUGAGCUCUUUGAAAAUGUUACAUUCUGUCCCUCGGCAGCUUUUUGGCAAGAAGAAUCAAAUCUGGGCCCUCUGACUAAAAACACGCAGGCAUUCCCCUCUGGUCACAGCUGCAGCGAUGUUCUCCGCAUCUCAUUACGAGGCUGCCGAUGCUGGAAGGUCAGCGGUGCCACCAGCGCGGUGCCAGUCCCCAGCUCUUUGUCACACACGGGGGCAGUGAGGUGGCUCUGCCCACAGCUACCGGCAACGAACAAAGCAAGCAGGUCAGUAGCAGAGUGACCGGACCCAGAAGUUCCCUUGGCUGUGCCAGCCCAGGAAAUAAUAGCUGACAUUUCCAUUUGCAAAGCCUUCCAAGGGAAGGGGUAGGAUGAGAUUUUCAAAGCUGCUUAGGAGCUCUGGACAUCGCUGUCUUACCUGGCUUAACAAGGGCUGCACGUCCAUCCCUAGGCAGUGAAAAUGUGAGCUGUCCCGUUGGAUUUUCACUCGGUCCCAACUUGAGUGAGACCAAGUUGAUCCAAGGGUGGCGAAAGCCCCCUGUUCAGAGCGCGAGUGCUGCUGGUGGAGGCACAGGCCCUGUGUGUUCCAGCAGGAUGAGGAUCUCACGUUGGCGAUACCCAGCUUUGGGAAACUGCUUCAUUCUCGAUGCUGAAAUGACAAGAUACACAACAGCCCAGGCUGCCGAGGUGCCCUGUGGAGCCCUGCACACCAGCCUCACUUUUUCCCAUCUCCACACAUCCAACGGGAGGAUGCAGCUUUCUUCUACAUCCAGACCUUGCUGCUGAUGCUUCUGAAAAACUGGAGCUUACCUUGCUCCGAGGAGCCUGCUCUGGCUGAACACGGAGCUGCACGGCUGAUGCAGGCAGGCACAGAGGAUGUUCUCCUCUCGUCUUCCAGCAGGCUGGUUGUGACGACUUUAAAUAUUUCCUCCGGGCUUUGAGUCACCCAUCUCCGAAUGACACGCUGAGGUGUUCUGGUCCAUGCAUGCAUCACUUUUUUAAAGAGUUUAUUUUCCAGCUGACGACUGGUAACAUUAGUUCACUAUUUACUCUCAGGGAGGCAAAGGCAAAAAUUGAGUGUUUCACUUACAUGGUCACUAGCUGGCAAAACUCCUACAUUUGAUUUUCCUGAGGCUGUCUGCAUCAUUUUGAAGUUGCACUAGGAAGCCUGCUGGUCAGAACAUUUCCAGCACAACGUAUUGUCAUUAAAAUAUACUGUGCUGCUGUACCCAGCUUCUCCUAUAGAAUUAUAAUGGUUCGGAGGAUGGUUUCUGAUGGGAAAUUUUCUGAAGCUUGACUUUUGUGACCGAAGAGGGAGAAUGUGCUAGAAAGAGAGAGUGAUGGCAGAAACAGGGGGAGAAAAAAAGCAAAACUGUGUUUCAAGAAAUAAUUCUACAUUCAUUCUUCACUGGAAAGAGAAGAAAUCUCAAAUAUCUUUGUGAAACAAAAUCAAGGUUAAUUUCUUUUUUCUGGACAGGAACACUAGAACCUGAAGCAGCCAAUGUGAGUUCACUGAAAGCAGUUUGCAGUCUGAUGUUUGACUCCAUUCUUGCCCUAGACCAGCCUUCCUUUUCCAGCCAUCUACAGCAGAAAGCUUACACCAAGUACCACUUUCUGUACGGGAUCAAUACCUUGGCUUACAUGCAUCAAUCUGAAUAAAUCACCUACCUUCCCAGGAGUACCA
This 2363-nucleotide long non-coding RNA is filed under the name Anas platyrhynchos platyrhynchos (common mallard). Its description in RNAcentral is "lncRNA (ENSAPLG00000025189.1)". The record is from RNAcentral. Lineage: Eukaryota; Metazoa; Chordata; Aves; Anseriformes; Anatidae.